Epinephelus fuscoguttatus (brown-marbled grouper) is the source of this 1299-nucleotide non-coding RNA. NCBI's taxonomy places the organism in Eukaryota, Metazoa, Chordata, Actinopteri, Perciformes, Serranidae. The record is from the annotation of a RefSeq genome assembly.
AGCAUAUAUUCACUGAUAAACUGUAGCUUAAACUUUACAUUCACUGCAACAUUCACAGUAUUGCUGUUACUAACUUUACUCGACAGCAGCAUUGUAGUCUACGUCAUAUGCAGGUCUGAGCCAUAAACCCACUGAGACAGAAAACAUAUGAUAAUUACAAUUACCUGUGAAUACACCUGAACUGAUUGUGUUGGAUUUUUAGUGGAGCAUGUGAGUUGUCUUGGCCGAUGUAUGUUGUGUUUUAUUUAGUGACCUGAUGCUGUUUUCAUGUUGCCUUCUUGGCCAAAUAUUUCUUAUGAAAUGGAUUUUUUAUUCUGAGGGGACAUUUAUAUAGAUAAGAAACUGUAACGAAGAUUUGUUUAAUUUAAAGGCUUAAUUACAAUACAACCACCUGAGUUUGUGUUAAUCUCCAUGAGGAUGAUGUAAACAGUCAGCUGGCCCAGCAGUGAGGAGGAAACAGCCUGAUGUGUUGAGGACAGCUCCAGUUGACUGACUCUGUGUGUUUGCAUAUGUGUCCUGCCUCUCUGCUCCCAGCCGUUAAGAGGCCAGUGUUGAUCAGUGGCUGUCCAGGCCUUUCACAGCCACUGACACGCCGGCAGCACAAUGAUGAUGUCACUGAUUCUACUGCUGGCCACCCUGGGGCUCCUUGUUCAGGAUUCAUCAGGAGAAACCAUCCUGACUCAGUCUCCUGGAUCUCAGUCUGUUGCUCCAGGACAAACUGUCUCCAUCAUGUGUUCAGCCAGUUCUAAUGUAAAUAACUGGCUCCACUGGUACCUUCAGAAACCUGGAGAAGCUCCUAAACUCCUGAUUUAUCAAGUUACAACUCGUCAGUCUGGAGUUUCAGAUCGUUUUAGUGGAAGUGGAUCUGGGACUGACUACACUCUGACCAUCAGAGGAGUUCAGGCUGAAGAUUCAGGAGUUUAUUACUGCAAGCAGAUUGGCAGCUACCCGUUCACACAGUGAUACAACAUCGUACAAAAACCUCCCUCAGCUGGAGAGGAACUGAUCUGACUCAACAGCUGCACUGAAACUAAAACAACACAAGUUUUACUCAGAACAAAAAAAUGUAGUUCAGAAAAAUUCACUUACAACAUUUAUUAUCUAAAUAUACUGUAUAUAAAACACUAUGUAUAUUUUAUUUAUUCAGUGUUUUAACAUUCUGCUGCACAUCAAAGCUAAACUCUGUUGAAGAAUAAUUUCAAUAUUUUGAUAAAUUUAAUUCAUAGAGUAUGAUAACACAUGAACACUAAAACUGUAAAUAUUAUUUAUUUUAAAUCUUACAAUAUUUUAUUUGAUCCU